GACGAACGCUGGCGGCGUGCUUAACACAUGCAAGUCGAACGGUGAAGCGCCUUCCUUUUUGGUGGGUGUGGAUGAGUGGCGAACGGGUGAGUAACACGUGAGUAACCUGCCCCCUUCUUCUGGAUAACCGCAUGAAAGUGUGGCUAAUACGGGAUAUUCUGGGUCUGUCGCAUGAUGGGUCUGGGAAAGAUAUUGUUUCGGUGGGGGAUGGGCUCGCGGCCUAUCAGCUUGUUGGUGGGGUGAUGGCCUACCAAGGCGGUGACGGGUAGCCGGCCUGAGAGGGUGGACGGGCACACUGGGGCUGAGACACGGCCCAGACUCCUACGGGAGGCAGCAGUGGGGAAUAUUGCACAAUGGGCGCAAGCCUGAUGCAGCGACGCCGCGUGAGGGAUGGAGGCCUUCGGGUUGUGAACCUCUUUCGCCAGUGAAGCAGGCCUGCCUCGUUUGUGGGUGGGUUGACGGUAGCUGGAUAAGAAGCGCCGGCUAACUACGUG
This 494-nucleotide ribosomal RNA is filed under the name uncultured bacterium. Its description in RNAcentral is "partial 16S ribosomal RNA". It matches the Rfam family "Bacterial small subunit ribosomal RNA", at positions 28 to 507 of the family's 1533-position model. The record is from RNAcentral.